AAUAGAUACCCGGGUAGUCCUAGCCGUAAACGAUACUCGCUAGGUGUCGGCCACGGUGCGACCGUUGUCGGUGCCGUAGGGAAGCCGUGAAGCGAGCCACCUGGGAAGUACGGCCGCAAGGCUGAAACUUAAAGGAAUUGGCGGGGGAGCACCACAACGGGUGGAGCUUGCGGUUUAAUUGGAUUCAACGCCGGAAAUCUUACCGGGACCGACAGCAAUAUGAAGGCCAGGCUGAAGACUUUGCCGGAUUAGCUGAGAGGUGGUGCAUGGCCGUCGUCAGUUCGUACUGUGAAGCAUCCUGUUAAGUCAGGCAACGAGCGAGACCCCACGCCCACAGUUGCCAGCGUACUCUCCGGAGUGACGGGGUACACUGUGGGGACCGCCGCUGCUAAAGCGGAGGAAGGAAUGGGCAACGGUAGGUCAGUAUGCCCCGAAUAUCCCGGGCUACACGCGAGCUACAAUGGUUGGUACAACGGGUAUCUACCCCGAAAGGGGAUGGAAAUCUCCGUAAAGCCAAUCUUAGUUCGGAUUGAGGGCUGCAACUCGCCCUCA
This 552-nucleotide ribosomal RNA is filed under the name uncultured bacterium. Its description in RNAcentral is "bacterial SSU rRNA". It matches the Rfam family "Archaeal small subunit ribosomal RNA", at positions 728 to 1276 of the family's 1478-position model. The record is from RNAcentral.